GUCUGCGUCGAUUAGUGGUUAAAUCACUUCGUUGUGGCAUGCCGUAAUGUGACCUCCGAAGAGCCGGGUGUUCGAUCCACCCCGCGGACA
This is a non-coding RNA of Mycena epipterygia, 90 nucleotides long. NCBI's taxonomy places the organism in Eukaryota, Fungi, Basidiomycota, Agaricomycetes, Agaricales, Mycenaceae. The record is from the annotation of a GenBank genome assembly.